Molecule: non-coding RNA, 3357 nt
Organism: Struthio camelus australis
Lineage: Eukaryota; Metazoa; Chordata; Aves; Struthioniformes; Struthionidae
Source: RefSeq, a predicted model, not a curated record
GGCGUGAGCAGAAGGUGAAGGGGACAGAGAUGGCAACGAAGGGGCUUUUCGGGUGCUUGAUGCCCAUGUCGUCUCCUCCGUGGGCGCCUCCGUGACGCUCCCAGAAGAUCCUUCUGCCUCCAACCCAUGGAGAACUCGGGAUGUGGCGCCUGCUGUGACACUGGGGUGAUUUUUCUCUUUUGGCCUGUGACAUGUUUACAGUGGUCAACGUUGUCUUGCUGAUGCAGAGCGCGACUUUGAUCUCCCCUUCUGGGUGGCUGAUGAGGCUGGCCUGUCCCUUAUAAAAUACGGAGAGUUUUUGUAUGAUAACUUGAUCGUCUUCUUGCCAUCUGUGCAAGGUAAAUAGGUGAAGGAAAAGCUCUGGAAAAAGCAUGAGCUCUGUUGCAGCCUAGUGGCGUUUUUGAAAAGGGAUUUCAGAGCGUUUUAUGAAUAUUGAUAAAGUUAUGCAUUGUUGCUGUUGUUCUGCCUUUCUUAUAGCUGGUAGCAGCUCUCCAAGAUGAAAUGAUGCUGUGGGUACAGUUAAGAUUAACUGAGCUUCCUGGCAGGCCUUAGCUGUACUAAUGGUUCUUCUAGCCAUGAUAAAAGCGAUUUGAUAUGCGGCUGUGGUGUUAGUUGUGGAAGCUUAGGCUUAUUUCUGAGAUGUGGGCUGCAGCAGAUGAUAGAGGGGUGAAUGUCUGCGUUUUCAGAUUUUGGCAGAAACAUCAAUAUGGAGACCAUGACUGCUUUCAUUGACAGUGGUGGCAGUGUCCUCGUAGCUGCCAGCUCAGACAUUGGCGAGUACAAAUGCUUGUCAGAUGAAGUAGUGUCAUGCCAGAUAAGGCAGUGUCAUGAACAAAUCAGUGUGCGUCAGCUACUUUGUGUAACAGGUACCUUUGCAUGCUUAUCUCCUGCAGUGAGUGGAUAGCUUAUUCCCCCUUCUUUGAGCUACUGCAAGAAAGCUGAUGACAAAAAAACAUGCUACCUCGUUGGUCUGUAGCCCAGAGCCAUUUAGCUUUGUGUUUUGCAGAUGCGCUGUAGGAAUUCACACCUGGAGAGGAAAAGAGAACUUUUUCUGUGUCAUCAAAACCAUUAAAGUACUGACUAUAAUAUUGUGAAAGGGAACCUUAACUGGAUGGUCCUCUGUGCAUUCAGUUUCUUGUUGUGAAUCUCAGGGUUGUACUGAAACUUCUUGGAGGGCAUGAGUGACAGACUUGGGAUAAGACAACAAAACUGCCUCAGCGACAUUGUUGAUGGGAAUUUAGCUGAGGGAGGUUGUGAAAGCGAGCGGUUUGGCUAAUAGGGUGCUGAGCGCAUGUCUGCAGGCUGUACUUGCUUUUGAUGCUGACUGUUCAGAUCGACAUUGCGUCCUUCUGAGCACGCUGCAUAACUGAGGAUUUGUUUUGUCCUGCCGGGUACCCCCUGUGCGAACUGGGUAGCGAGUGUGGGACAGAGCUUGAUGAGGAAAGGACAGCUGUCAUAGACCAGCAUAACUACGAUAUAUUGGAGCCAGGCCAGGGAAAACGCCUGCACUGUCACUGAUCUUGUGGUAAGGCCACAGAUGAUGGGGUUGGAACAUGCUCCUGUUCUUUGGUCAGCAAGAAACAUGGAAGCAGGUUUGUCUUUGCUUCACCCAUUAAAAAUUGGAGAGCUAGAUCUUUGAAUGAACUCUAUCAUUUCCAUUGGAUGGUGCCUUCAUGAGUCGGUGCUGAGAGAGCUGGCAGUGGUUGCAGUCACACAUUAAGUGUCUUGGUCUGGAGAAGCUUGUGACCUCUUUGUUAAAUGUUGCUGAUGUUCAAUAGUGAUUUCUUUUUUUCUCAGUAACCCUUGUGCAAAAAACUUGAGCCUGGUGGCUGGGCAUGCUCUGGAGCUUUUACUUGGUCAUUACUUGUCUGUCUUUCAGUACCGAGAUUUCAGACUUUGCUGUAGAAAGUAAAAUCGGGGCGUAUCAUGUGGCAAGCUGGAACAAACAUCUUAUUGCCUUUGAAGAUUGUAACUAUAAAACUUGAUUUACUGGAGAGGAUAAUUUCCAGCUUCAGCUGCCUAGGGAGCUGAAAAGUAUAGUUGGAGCUGUUUCAUGUCUCUAAAGUCUAUGUCUGCUUGCUUUUUGGCCACUGAGAGCCGAUUUGAUCGUUGAUAGCUCAGUUGUGUUUCUAAGAGGGCAAACAUACCUAAUCUGCUUUGGAAAAAGAAAUUUGGGAGAAUUCCCUCGCCACCUUGAAAUUUCUGACUUCUAUAGCAUCAUGCUCCGGCCUUGUUUGUCUUUAAUGUCCGUUUUUCGGGUAUUAGUCUUAUGCAAUAUUAAUGCAUUGUGGGUUUGUUGCAGGAGUGCAGCAUCGUUAUUGGAAAGCUCUCUGGUGGGAAGUGGGUCCCUUUUGAUGGAGGCGAUAUUCAGCUGGAAUUUGUCCGCAUUGAUCCAUUUGUCCAGACUUUCUUGAAGAGAAGUGGUGUCUGUGUGUCCCCUCCAGCACACGCCGUCUGAACGUUUUAUCCUCUCGGCAUAUCCGUACUAUGCCGGUGCCUUCUCUGUGAUGGUAGACCUCUUCAUGUUCAGCAUUGUCUUCUUGCACAUGAAGAAGAAGGAGAAAUAGUACUGAGCUCCCUAUGGCAGGAAGAGCCUUUUUUCAUAUCACUGGCACCACGCAGAGACCAGCAGCACUCAGGAUCCUUACUAUAACUUUUGAGGAGGCGCUGACGCCUGAGGAGCUUGACUGCCGUUUCUGAAAACGCCCGGCAGUGGGGUGGCAGGAGACAACGGCAAAGAGAUUCAAGGCUGCAGACAUCAGUGUCAUGUUGCUGGGGCUUGAAGGCGGCUCCAGGCAUCUCCCCUGGCUCCGGCCCUCUCUGCCGCAACCCUUGGAGCCCUCCCUUCUGCCCAUCAUCUCCUCGUCCCUCACAACAUGUCCCAGGGAGGACACUCAGCAGCAGUAGGAACAGCCGACUGAAUCUUACUUUCCCUGCAGACCCUAGCAUUAGAGGCCAGGGAACCUGGAGCAAUGCUCUGUUGAUGCACUGAAGCGCCAGAAGGCCCCAGGGAGGAGCACAGCACUGCAGAUAUGGGGAGCAAGGGAGGAUUCCCUGCGUAGGAGGAGCUGUCAGAACUGGCAUUUCACCUCUUGCCCACCCUCCACCAGCUCUUUGGGGCCACCAUUUCAGACUCCAGCUGCAAUGAGGAAGUGACCUUUUCCAGACCCCCCCCCUCCCCUGAAGGAGCGAGAACUGGAUUUUGCCUUCAUUUACCCCCCACUCAAGGAGCUGCUGCAGAAGCCGCAGCCUGCGUUUGCCAGCCCAUUCUGCUCCCCAGGAAGAGCAAAGCAGGACUUCGGCACGGUAGCUCUGCACUAAGGUGUUUUGGCUCUUGGAAAUAAAAAUUGGAGCAAG